Molecule: ribosomal RNA, 388 nt
Filed under: Escherichia coli
Lineage: Bacteria; Pseudomonadati; Pseudomonadota; Gammaproteobacteria; Enterobacterales; Enterobacteriaceae
Description: partial 23S ribosomal RNA
Rfam family: Bacterial large subunit ribosomal RNA
Source: RNAcentral
CAUAGGUUAAUGAGGCGAACCGGGGGAACUGAAACAUCUAAGUACCCCGAGGAAAAGAAAUCAACCGAGAUUCCCCCAGUAGCGGCGAGCGAACGGGGAGGAGCCCAGAGCCUGAAUCAGUGUGUGUGUUAGUGGAAGCGUCUGGAAAGGCGCGCGAUACAGGGUGACAGCCCCGUACACAAAAAUGCACAUACUGUGAGCUCGAUGAGUAGGGCGGGACACGUGGUAUCCUGUCUGAAUAUGGGGGGACCAUCCUCCAAGGCUAAAUACUCCUGACUGACCGAUAGUGAACCAGUACCGUGAGGGAAAGGCGAAAAGAACCCCGGCGAGGGGAGUGAAAAAGAACCUGAAACCGUGUACGUACAAGCAGUGGGAGCCUCUUUUAUGG